Molecule: unclassified non-coding RNA, 317 nt
Filed under: uncultured fungus
Lineage: Eukaryota; Fungi
Description: partial contains 5.8S ribosomal RNA and internal transcribed spacer 2
Rfam family: 5.8S ribosomal RNA (bases 1-133)
Source: RNAcentral
UGGUUCUGGCAUNGAUGAAGAACGCAGCGAAAUGCGAUAAGUAAUGUGAAUUGCAGAAUUCAGUGAAUCAUCGAAUCUUUGAACGCACAUUGCGCCCCUUGGUAUUCCGGGGGGCAUGCCUGUUCGAGCGUCAUUUCAACCCUCACGCGUAGCGUGGUCUUGGGCUCUGCCGGCAACGGCUGGCCUUAAAAUCAGUGGCGGUGCCAUCGAGCUCUACGCGUAGUAAUAAACCCCUCGCGUGUGAGUCUCGGCGGUCGCUUGCCAGCAACCCCCAAUUUUUUAUGGUUGACCUCGAAUCAGGUAGGGAUACCCGCUGA